GGCCGAGUUCAAGCGUAUAUGCGCCCAAGACAACGAGCGUACUUAUGCUCUACGACAGAAGAUCGUUGAUCUUGAGGCUAAAGUUGCGGACUUGACCUCAAAGGUGGAGGAAGCGCAGGGUGAAAAAACUGCCAAGCAGCAGAUGGAGGUUAGUUGAGCUGACUGAAGCCAAGGUGCAAUUGUCUAACAAGGACAAGGAUCUCCAUGCCAAGGACGUUGAGAUAGCGGAACUCAAACGUCGCUUGAAUGAGCAAAUCGAUAGAUGCGAGUCUUUGGAGAUUGACCUUGAGGCUGAGAAGGUC
RNAcentral lists this long non-coding RNA (302 nucleotides) under Helianthus annuus (common sunflower). RNAcentral's name for it is "sRNA HanXRQr2_Chr09g0397731". Lineage: Eukaryota; Viridiplantae; Streptophyta; Magnoliopsida; Asterales; Asteraceae. The record is from RNAcentral.